AUUGAACGCUGGCGGCAGGCUUAACACAUGCAAGUCGAGCGGGGUGAUGGUGCUUGCACUAUCACUUAGCGGCGGACGGGUGAGUAAUGCUUAGGAAUCUGCCUAUUAGUGGGGGACAACAUCUCGAAAGGGAUGCUAAUACCGCAUACGUCCUACGGGAGAAAGCAGGGGAUCACUUGUGACCUUGCGCUAAUAGAUGAGCCUAAGUCGGAUUAGCUAGUUGGUGGGGUAAAGGCCUACCAAGGCGACGAUCUGUAGCGGGUCUGAGAGGAUGAUCCGCCACACUGGGACUGGGACACGGCCCAGACUCCUACGGGAGGCAGCAGUGGGGAAUAUUGGACAAUGGGGGGAACCCUGAUCCAGCCAUGCCGCGUGUGUGAAGAAGGCCUUAUGGUUGUAAGGCACUUUAAGCGAGGAGGAGGCUCUUUUGGUUAAUACCCAAGAUGAGUGGACGUUACUCGCAGAAUAAGCACCGGCUAACUCUGUGCCAGCCGCCGCCGUAA
RNAcentral lists this ribosomal RNA (503 nucleotides) under uncultured bacterium. RNAcentral describes it as "partial 16S ribosomal RNA". It matches the Rfam family "Bacterial small subunit ribosomal RNA", at positions 30 to 523 of the family's 1533-position model. The record is from RNAcentral.